This is a long non-coding RNA of Sebastes umbrosus (honeycomb rockfish), 737 nucleotides long. RefSeq lists it as uncharacterized. The transcript has 3 exons. NCBI's taxonomy places the organism in Eukaryota, Metazoa, Chordata, Actinopteri, Perciformes, Sebastidae. The record is from RefSeq and is a predicted model, not a curated record.
CUGUGGCUGUUGCAGGACUGUAAUAAAAACAUCCAAUCAUUUCAUUGGGCCUGGAUGUACAGUAAUGGUUGGACGGGUUACCUGGUUACCUGUCUGCCUGCCUGCGCACACUCUGCGCACACUCUGCGCAUGCACUCACUGCUCGUCACUCGGUGACGGUCACCGGAGUCUUCCACCAGCUGCUAGCUUGACAGCCGCAUGAGCAGCUUAUCUGUAUGUGUCUGCAGGAGAAAGAACGAGAGACAGCAUUGACAGAAGACAAAAACCAAACAAGAGCAGGAGGAAAGCCUGAGCACUUAUGUCAACAGAGGAUUGUAAAGCCUGCAGGAACAUCAGCAGUCACCAUGAACAGCAGCUACCACCAGAGGUGAGGAGGCAGGAAGGAGUCAAGGACCACAAAGGGCACAGAUCUAUGCCCAGCCAUGCAUGAUCUGGAAUGAAAAGAGGUAGUAAAAGCAUUAUUACAGCGGACACACUCUCACUUCCAUGUACUGUCACAUCUGGCAUGGAUUGGGACCAGUGGGAGGACAGGAUGGACUUGUUUUGGUUAAGAAUUUAGAAAGCAGUUUAUGUACGAGCAUGAGGAAACCAAACUGUUGCAGUAAUCAUACAUUUUUUUGGUUUCCACACCUUGUAUGGCAAAUAUAGUUUGGGUUUUAGUAAUAUUAUGGAUGUAAAAUUGCAGUUUUAGUACUUCUUCUUUGAUGUGCGCAUAAAGCAAAAGAGCAGGAAUGAUA